Physella acuta is the source of this 699-nucleotide long non-coding RNA. RefSeq lists it as uncharacterized. Lineage: Eukaryota; Metazoa; Mollusca; Gastropoda; Physidae. The record is from RefSeq and is a predicted model, not a curated record.
GAUCAGGUCAAUUUGAAAACAAUCGAAUGUAUUGAAUCCCAGUCUAAAGGAGAUAUAGAGGAAAUAAAAGAAGUGGUUGCUCUAGUGAGAACAACAAAUUCUGCACUGCUGGAUCAUAAAAACAAAAUUAGUGAUGUAAAAAGGAAACUCAAUAAACUAAAGAAAGUUCAAGCAACAAAUGAAGAAGCAAAAGACAAAACACAAGAAAAUGAAAAAGAUACAUCAGAAAUAAAUAAAUAAAAAAACAGCAGUUUGAAAAAGGGAAUAGAGCAUAAUGCAAUACCGUUUACUUCAAUACAAAAAACUGAAGAUUGUUUACCGUUAAUGAAGCAGUGGAGAGAAAACUUGUUAGAAAAGUCAAACCAACGUUUUCUUGACACUAUGUUUUCACCAGAAAUUGUAAACCAGGCUAAAGAACAUGACAUAUCCGAGAGUAAGAAACGGGAAAACAACAAUUUUGAAGAGAGAAUAAAAUAUCUUGAAGAAACACAGGCGUUGUUACUGGAUUCAAUGCGGUCGAGAGAUAGAGAAUUAAUAGAAAUAAAACAAUGGAGAGACAAAUGUAUACCUGAACAAAGUGAUAUGGUGAUAAAAAUAAAUCAACUGCUCAAUAAAAAACAAGAAAAUAACACCAAAACAAUGAAAGACAUGCGAGAAUACAAUCAACUGAUGGAGAACUCCAGAAAGCAAGAUUCACAA